GGCGAGGUGCAGGGACUUACCUUCCCAGAGUCCCCAAGUUGCUGGACAGCACCCGCCUGCCCCCUCCAGGAAGAGGCCCAGAGUUCCCAACCCUUCACUCCUUGCUCUGGGCCACCAGCCCAUUUUCCUCUAGUGCAACGUGAACCACAAGAACAUGUCAGUAAGAAAAAGUCAAGGCUUUAAAAUGCAAACUAUUGGGGCGCCUGGGUGGCUCAGUGGGUUAAGCCGCUGCCUUCGGCUCAGGAUUCACACAAAGGAGGGAGUCCGAGUCCCUUUGACCAAACUAAAAUCAGAGCUCCAGCUUCACACAAACAUCAGUGGCUUUGGCAGCAGGAAGAGCAUCCCUAGACCCUGCGUGAGGAGUGCAGCCGGUACACUUGGUUCCUGGGAUCCAGCUUCACUGGGACAGAAGAGGAAAAGACACAGAGAAAGCCAUGUGAAAAUGGAGGCAGAGAUUUGAGUCAUGUAGCCAUAAGCCAAGUGAUCCUGGAGCCACCAGAAGCUAGAAGAAACA
Molecule: long non-coding RNA, 514 nt
Organism: Mustela erminea (ermine)
Lineage: Eukaryota; Metazoa; Chordata; Mammalia; Carnivora; Mustelidae
Exons: 3
Source: RefSeq, a predicted model, not a curated record